This 519-nucleotide ribosomal RNA is filed under the name uncultured eukaryote. Its description in RNAcentral is "SSU rRNA". It matches the Rfam family "Eukaryotic small subunit ribosomal RNA", at positions 1161 to 1698 of the family's 1831-position model. The record is from RNAcentral.
AGGGCACCACCAGGAGUGGAGCCUGCGGCUUAAUUUGACUCAACACGGGAAAACUCACCCGGCCCGGACACUGGAAGCAUUGACAGAUUGAGAGCCCUUUCUUGAUUCAGUGGGUGGUGGUGCAUGGCCGUUCUUAGUUGGUGGAGUGAUUUGUCUGGUUAAUUCCGAUAACGAACGAGACUCUAGCCUACUAAAUAGAUCGUCGGCUUACAAACGCCGGCGAGACUUCUUAGAGGGACAGGCGGUGAUUCAACCGCACGAAACAGAGCAAUAACAGGUCUGUGAUGCCCUUAGAUGUCCGGGGCCGCACGCGCGCUACACUGAAGUGAUCAGCGUGCUUUUUCAACCUACUCUGUCAAGAGUGGGGAACCCAAUGAACCUUCUUCGUGAUUGGGAUAGGGGAUUGUAAUUAUUCCCCUUGAACGAGGAAUUCCCAGUAAGCGCGAGUCAUAAGCUCGCGUUGAUUACGUCCCUGCCCUUUGUACACACCGCCCGUCCGCUACUACCGAUUGAAUGUUU